ACCUUUCAACCUGACUACGUUUUAGCUGGAAGGCAGUGGGGUCUGGUCUUAACACUUGUAAAUGAAAACCAUAUCCUUUAGCCUUCAUGAUACUGUAUGGUAUUUUAUAGUAGCAGAUCGAUCAAGGCAACGAAUCCUAGAAGCUUUCAAAAUGGUAUUCUCUCAGAAACCAGGGACUGCAAAAAUUGGAGCUGUGCUUUUAUUGAUUUCGUUUAUAAUUGCUUUAAUUGGAACCUUAUCGCCAUCAUGGUAUAAAAGUCGAAACUCAACUUCUGGAAUUUGGAUGUUUUGUCUAGGACCUGGAGAAUUUGAGAAUUGUGGUUCAAUCAAUUUAGCUUAUCAACCAGAUUGGUAUUUGGCUGUCCUGAGUUUAGCGGCAAUUGGAGUUAUCUUACUGUUUAUAUCAACAAUCGCAGCUUUUUGUGCUACCGGUCGAGCGGUUGCCGCUAUUUUGGGUAUAUUGGGAGGGCUGUUGGUUAUAGUAUCUGUUGUCGUUUACUAUGUGAAACAGAAUGAAGCUGUGUCGACAUUCAGUGAAUUACUCUACUGGGGUUUCUAUUUGUCCGGGAUAUCCGGAGGUCUUGGUUUUAUAGGCGCAUUGCUCUUAAUACCCGGUCAAAAACAAAAUGCCGUUUCAACUUAUUAAUAAUUAUAGUGUAUUUCUGAUUUGUUGUGAUAGCUCUUCUAUAUAUAAUUGACCUACAUAAUUGUUACUGUACAUGCUUGAAAACGUUGUCGCACAAAUAAAUUAAGUUGUUGUUUGUCCAUGUUAUAAUUCGUUAGUAUAUAGGACCUUCAAAUGCUAGGCGAUAUAUCCAUUUCGGGGAAAAAUUUAUAUUAACAGUCUACUAUUUGGCACCCAAAUAGCUUUCAUAUCUAUUGAGUUCAUGCAAAUUAAGAACUAGUUUUAUAUACUAUUUAUAU
Molecule: long non-coding RNA, 924 nt
Organism: Patella vulgata (common limpet)
Lineage: Eukaryota; Metazoa; Mollusca; Gastropoda; Patellidae
Exons: 4
Source: RefSeq, a predicted model, not a curated record